This 130-nucleotide non-coding RNA is filed under the name Anaerolineaceae bacterium. Its description in RNAcentral is "FMN sequence". It matches the Rfam family "FMN riboswitch aptamer (RFN element)". From Rfam's summary of the family: The RFN element is a highly conserved domain that is found frequently in the 5'-untranslated regions of prokaryotic mRNAs that encode for flavin mononucleotide (FMN) biosynthesis and transport proteins. This element is a metabolite-dependent riboswitch that directly binds FMN in the absence of proteins. In Bacillus subtilis, the riboswitch most likely controls gene expression by causing premature transcription termination within the 5' untranslated region of the ribDEAHT operon and precluding access to the ribosome-binding site of ypaA mRNA. The record is from RNAcentral. Lineage: Bacteria; Bacillati; Chloroflexota; Anaerolineae; Anaerolineales; Anaerolineaceae.
GAAAACCUUUGGGGCAGGGUGAGGCAUGAGCCGAUUCCCGACCGGUGGUAUAAUCCACGCGCGCCGUACGCGGCGCUGAUCCGGCGCAAUUCCGGAAUCGACGGUAGAGUCCGGAUGAAAAAAGGCAGCG